Molecule: non-coding RNA, 26 nt
Filed under: Homo sapiens (human)
Lineage: Eukaryota; Metazoa; Chordata; Mammalia; Primates; Hominidae
Source: RNAcentral
UCAGGGCACAGAUGGGUGCAGAGGGU